RNAcentral lists this ribosomal RNA (244 nucleotides) under Escherichia coli. RNAcentral describes it as "partial 23S ribosomal RNA". It matches the Rfam family "Bacterial large subunit ribosomal RNA", at positions 2687 to 2925 of the family's 2925-position model. The record is from RNAcentral. RNAcentral also lists the same sequence under 2 other names. Lineage: Bacteria; Pseudomonadati; Pseudomonadota; Gammaproteobacteria; Enterobacterales; Enterobacteriaceae.
GAGGACCGGAGUGGACGCAUCACUGGUGUUCGGGUUGUCAUGCCAAUGGCACUGCCCGGUAGCUAAAUGCGGAAGAGAUAAGUGCUGAAAGCAUCUAAGCACGAAACUUGCCCCGAGAUGAGUUCUCCCUGACUCCUUGAGAGUCCUGAAGGAACGUUGAAGACGACGACGUUGAUAGGCCGGGUGUGUAAGCGCAGCGAUGCGUUGAGCUAACCGGUACUAAUGAACCGUGAGGCUUAACCUU